UGAUGAAGAACGCAGCGAAAUGCGAUAAGUAAUGUGAAUUGCAGAAUUCAGUGAAUCAUCGAAUCUUUGAACGCACAUUGCGCCCGCCAGUAUUCUGGCGGGCAUGCCUGUUCGAGCGUCAUUACAACCCUCAGGCCCCCGGGCCUGGCGUUGGGGAUCGGCGGAAGCCCCCUGCGGGCACAACGCCGUCCCCCAAAUACAGUGGCGGUCCCGCCGCAGCUUCCAUUGCGUAGUAGCUAACACCUCGCAACUGGAGAGCGGCGCGGCCACGCCGUAAAACACCCAACUUCUGAAUGUUGACCUCGAAUCAGGUAGGAAUACCCGCUGAACUUAAGCAUAUCAAUAAGCGGAGGA
This 354-nucleotide unclassified non-coding RNA is filed under the name soil metagenome. RNAcentral's name for it is "partial contains 5.8S ribosomal RNA, internal transcribed spacer 2, and large subunit ribosomal RNA". The stretch from base 2 to 121 matches the Rfam family "5.8S ribosomal RNA", at positions 35 to 154 of the family's 154-position model. The record is from RNAcentral.